AUGCCUUAAACUGAUGAGUAAGGAAAAUAACGACGCGGGGUGACGCCCGUGUCCUCGUGUAACUUACGAGAUAAAUUUUUGAACGGGUAAAGGUCUGCCUGUUAGCGGUGACUCACCUACUUUGUGAGAUGCCCUGCAGGGCUAGGAUCUGCCCG
Small nuclear RNA from Osmerus eperlanus (European smelt), 155 nucleotides. RefSeq annotates it as U12 minor spliceosomal RNA. NCBI's taxonomy places the organism in Eukaryota, Metazoa, Chordata, Actinopteri, Osmeriformes, Osmeridae. The transcript has a single exon. The record is from RefSeq and is a predicted model, not a curated record.